GACGAACGCUGGCGGCGUGCUUAACACAUGCAAGUCGAGCGGUAAGGCCCUUUCGGGGGUACACGAGCGGCGAACGGGUGAGUAACACGUGGGUGACCUGCCCUUAGCUCUGGGAUAAGCCUGGGAAACUGGGUCUAAUACCGGAUAUGACUCCAUGACGCAUGUUGUGGGGUGGAAAGCCUUGUGCGGCUAGGGAUGGGCCUGCGGCCUAUCAGCUUGUUGGUGGGGUNAUGGCCUACCAAGGCGACGACGGGUAGCCGGCCUGAGAGGGCGACCGGCCACACUGGGACUGAGACACGGCCCAGACUCCUACGGGAGGCAGCAGUGGGGAAUCUUGCGCAAUGGGCGAAAGCCUGACGCAGCGACGCCGCGUGGGGAUGACGGCCU
RNAcentral lists this ribosomal RNA (387 nucleotides) under uncultured bacterium. RNAcentral describes it as "bacterial SSU rRNA". It matches the Rfam family "Bacterial small subunit ribosomal RNA", at positions 28 to 417 of the family's 1533-position model. The record is from RNAcentral.